UUUGUGUUGGGAGGUGUGUGCCUCUCCUGAUGAGUCCAAAAGGACGAAACACAAU
Molecule: non-coding RNA, 55 nt
Organism: Pleurotus ostreatus PC15
Lineage: Eukaryota; Fungi; Basidiomycota; Agaricomycetes; Agaricales; Pleurotaceae
Source: Rfam